CGCGUAGGCGGGCUGUUAAGUGCUUUGUGAAAUCCCCCGGCUUAACCGGGGAAUCGCUGGGCAUACUGGCAGUCUUGAGGCAAGUAUAGGUGCGUGGAACUCUUGGUGGAGCGGUGAAAUGCGUAGAUAUCAAGAGGAACGCCGGUGGUGAAAACGAUGCACUGGGCUUGUCCUGACGCUGAGGCGCGAAAGCCAGGGGAGCAAACGGGAUUAGAUACCCCGGUAGUCCUGGCCGUAAACGAUGUCCACUAGGUUGGGGUUCUUUUGACGGAGUCCCGGCCGCAACAAAAGCGUUAAGUGGACCGCCUGGGGAGUACGGUCGCAAGGGCUAAA
This 333-nucleotide ribosomal RNA is filed under the name uncultured bacterium. Its description in RNAcentral is "bacterial SSU rRNA". It matches the Rfam family "Bacterial small subunit ribosomal RNA", at positions 568 to 899 of the family's 1533-position model. The record is from RNAcentral.